AAGCUGAUUGGCUCCGCCAUCUUUUGCUCAGAUUUCCGGAUUAAUAUGGAAGGGGUAAACAGAUGAUCAGUUGUUUAUUUUUCGUUUACUUUACUCUGGUUUAGUGGUUUAACCUCACUUAACUAGAUAGAGUGAAAUAUUAAAUUACUAUUACUAUUAUUAUUCAGGUUGAAAAAUGCCUUCCUGUAAGGUAAAAGGUUGCGAAGUCGAUUGGGGAAAAAUAAUGUGAAAAUGAAUUCUUUCCCAAAAGAAUCUGAACGACGGAAAGUGUGGAUUAAAAAUAUAUAGGGUUAAAACAAGAUCCAAACAAAUAUGCUGUUGUUUGUGAAAAAAACUGUAAAUAGUAUUUAAGGCAACGAUUGUGAAUGAGUGAGAAGUCUAAUAAAGCCACGACGAGAUACUGUAUUAGAGCGUACGAUUUGGAGGUAUUUUUGAUUAGAUAAAUUUUGUAAAGUACAAUAUAAGUUAGAUUUGAUAAUGUGUAGUAUUUCCUAAUAAAUUAAAUACUAUUAAGUGUUUAUUGUUCUUGUAAGUUAGUGUGGUAAAUAAAUAAUAUGAAGUAAG
Long non-coding RNA from Diabrotica virgifera virgifera (western corn rootworm), 564 nucleotides. RefSeq lists it as uncharacterized. Lineage: Eukaryota; Metazoa; Arthropoda; Insecta; Coleoptera; Chrysomelidae. The transcript has 2 exons. The record is from RefSeq and is a predicted model, not a curated record.